AUGAAGGUCUCGCCCAUAUGCCCUACUUUCCCUCAGGGUCUAGAAGAUACGAAACACAUGUUGUUCCUAUGUAGUAAAGCAAGUGAGGUUUGGAAGAGGCUUGGGAUGGACGAGAAUAUUAACAAAGCCUGCAAGGUUUAUCGUGCUGGAGAGGCGAUAUUGGAAUAUCUUUUACUUCUCCCAGAUCAAGAUUUGAGUAUUAUGGGUUUCCAAAAUGUACGAGAAAUGAUAGCUAUAUUAGCUUGGUAUCUAUGGUGGGAAAGACAAAAAUUGGUGCAUAAGAAAUUAACUCAGAAUGUAACUCAGAUAUCAAUGGGGAUCAUGGCCCUUACAUCAAAUUUUGUGAAUGCUUCAUCUCCAAGAGCGUCCAUAAGAAAGGGGGGUUGGUACUGCCCUCCUAGGGGCUUCGUGAAACUAAAUGUUGACGCGUCUUUUGAUCAUGACAUGCUGACGGGGACGAUGGGAGCAGUCUUGAGAGACGACAAAGGUAGGUUUAUUGCGGGAGGAAAUGAAAAGAUCAAAUAUUGUACCUAUGUUCUGAUGGCAGAAGCUUUAGUCCUGAAAUUUGGCUUAACUUUGGCACAAAGAGCGGGAUGUAACCGCAUAAUCAUCAACUCAGACAAUAUGGAGGUGAUUGAGACCAUGUAG
Molecule: ribosomal RNA, 648 nt
Filed under: Triticum aestivum (bread wheat)
Lineage: Eukaryota; Viridiplantae; Streptophyta; Magnoliopsida; Poales; Poaceae
Description: partial small subunit ribosomal RNA
Source: RNAcentral